GCCUUCGUGGAUCAUAGCGAUCUCCUCGUUUCAAUAAAAUGAAAAUACAGCCCUGAAAAUGGGGAGACGGAGGUUCGAUUCCUCCCGAGGGCA
Molecule: non-coding RNA, 93 nt
Organism: Mycena latifolia
Lineage: Eukaryota; Fungi; Basidiomycota; Agaricomycetes; Agaricales; Mycenaceae
Source: the annotation of a GenBank genome assembly